This is a long non-coding RNA of Magnolia sinica, 236 nucleotides long. RefSeq lists it as uncharacterized. The transcript has 4 exons. Lineage: Eukaryota; Viridiplantae; Streptophyta; Magnoliopsida; Magnoliales; Magnoliaceae. The record is from RefSeq and is a predicted model, not a curated record.
UUAAGGUUGAGGUUUAUGUUAUAGGUUAUGGUUUUAGGUCAGAGGUUUAGGUUUAGGUUAAGGUUAUAGGUUUAGGUUACGAUUUUAAGUCAUAGGUUUUGGUUUAGGUUAAGGUUAUAGGUUUAGGUUAAGGUUUUAGGUCAUAGGUUUUGGUUUAAGUUAAUGUUAUAGGUUUAGGCUAAGGUUUUAGGUCAUAAGUUUUGGUUUAGGUUAAGGUUAUAUGUAUAGGUUAAGGU